AGUUCUUCCAAGACUUUACCAGCUUGUGCACAUAAAAGGGGCCACACUAGUAGCAUGAUACGCACGUCACUCACUCCUCUAACUAGCAGACUGCUGUGAUUUCUUCAGUCUUCCCUAAUUCUAUUAGAGGAGUUCCAGGAAGUUUUCACUUGAACUCACAAAUUGCCAUCUUUGCUGUCACCUGGCACUGACCGUAUUCUAUUUUGGAUUAGGUGUUGACUCCUCCAAAACUGUACAUCAUUCUUAUGCCAAAAUAGCCCUGUAUUUUCACAAAUCAUGUGCAACCAAACAGAAACAAGAUAAGGUCCCUGUAUUGCCCAGGUCACCCUUUCCCACAAGGGCAUGAAAGGAAGUGGCUUGGGAAUUCUCAUAGAAUCCCUUGUAAACUACAGCUUCUUCCUUUCCUGCUUACAGCCCCUGUCUUCACAGAGCUGAAGUGAUUUGAACAGUAUUAAACAGAUAUUUUCUUUAAAGUUAUCUUUUGCUUGCAAGGAUACGAGUGCUUUGGUGACAAGUGGUCUGUUUAUCUUUUAAAUCUAGUCUGGUCAUGUGUCAGGUAAAUUAUUUCAUUUUUCUUAACUGAUUUGAGAGAAACUGUAGAAAAACCAACACCAGAAAGAUUUUUGAGAGGAUUUACUACAAAGUAAUGAAAUCAUUUGACUAUGAUAGGCUCUUAAUAGAGUAAAAUGGUUACUUUCUGGAUUUUUUUCCCUAAAGUCCAUGGACCGGUUUUAGAGACUAGUCUUUGAAUAGAGACCAAGCUGCUCUUCCCAGGACCCUCCUUCACCUCCGUCUAAUACAGAGUGAAAUCCUGCACGGGCUCCUUCCUGCCCCUUCAGUCCCAACCUCUCAAGACAGAUGCAAAGUUGGUGCAGAGUUCUGUUGACUCAUUCUAACUGUCCAAGAAAGUCCAAAAUGCAGCAGUAAACAGAGGCUAGGGCAUAGCUGGAAACUUUAUUUUGUCUUUGUAUAUACACAACUUUUGAUCUUUCCUAGUUUUAGUAUCUUUAGAAGAAAGAAUCAGGUUUUGCUCAUCACUGUAACUCAAAGGAUUCCUUGCACGUAGUACACACUUGAAAAAUGGUUAUUCUCACUUGACUCCUUUUGGGCAUAAUAUGGUCACUAAAUCCAAUAAUCUUAAAUUAAUCAUUACCAAGUGUAUUUUAUAUUUAACAUCAAAUUACUUAAGAAGGCAUAUAAACUCAUAAAUCUAAAAUAUAAAAAUGAUUAGUUUUUGUUAUAUAAUAAUUUUCCUACUCUUUAAUGAACUGUAUGAUGUUGUGUAAAUACCACCUUGAAAGCAGAUACUGAAAGCACUUGGAUUAUGUUAUGAGGCCACCUGAUAGAAAAAUAAUUAUAUUAGCAUAACUCACAUGAUAUUGGACAAGGAAUGAUUAAACCAUCAGUUUUCUGGAGCUACUUCUGAGCUACUGCUGCUAUAAGGAUACAAAGGAAAUAUAACAGUGGCUGUAUUUUGCACAAUUGGGGAUUCAUUUUUGGAGAAAACUUUUCCAGGCAAAUUAGAUUUAAAAUAGCUUUUGCAUCAGAAAUAAUAAACCUAAAAGAGAAUGUAGCCAACAAAGGAGACAGACUUAGAAUUCUCAGCAAAAGAGAAAGCUGAAGCCUCUUAGUCUUGGCAACAUUUUGCGGAAUAUAUUGGAAGGAAGCAAAACUUCCAGCAGGUAACAAAACAUACAGUGUUUGCACUUAAAGUAGGUGCUUUGAGACUAGGCAUAAACAGAACUUUGAGUCAGAGAUACCCUGAAUCAACAAGUAUUCAUCCCAAGAAAUAUGUAAAGUGGACCAAAGUAUCUUCAUGCACAGGAAGAUUCUCCCAACUUCAAUGAAAAUAUCCAUAGCCAGUCUGGUCACAUGUUACCCUCUUCCACUUAGAAGAGUAAUUGGAGAAUGGUUUCAGAAAAUCUAGCAUGCAUUUUAAAGCAUUCCAAAUUGUAAACUACAUAUAUUUCUCACUAUAGUGGAUGAGUUCAUUUUUCUUAAUCCUUUUGUUGUCUGCAUAAAGACCUAAGGUUAUGAACAUCUCCUGUUAUUAUUAUAAAUAUAUAACAGCCUCGAUGGAACUAUAGAAAUUUCUAGAGUCAAUAUUAGGGUGGAUGGAGAUAAACAUUGCCUCUUAAAGAAUUCUAUCUGAAUGAGACUUUUUUCUUUCUUAAUGGGACAUAUUUUAAAUAAAUUAAGGUAAAAAAAAUGUUUUACAGAGUCUGAAGAAGCAGCAAAUGUAAAAUUAUUCCAUAAAGCCAAAAAGAAAAGUUACAUAAGUUGUGACCCAGAGGCAGUGUGCUGUGGAGAAAGAGAGUCUGAGAGGGAGGAAAGAAAAUGAGCUCACCUCUAACCAGUUCUCUGGCCUUAGUUAAAUUCCUAAAGCCAGUGCGAGUCCUAGUUUUCCCCUAUUAGGUCAACCACUUUGAGGUUGUAAAGCCCUGUUUUCACCUUAAAAGCUAUACUGCAGAACUUGCUGGUUGUCAUUGGCACCUGGGGGCCACUGCUUCCCCAUUCUUUGGACUGAGGAAUAUGCGCAGAAGACCCACACCUUUUGUCAGAACUGAGCUAAUUUGUAAGCUGCUUUUGACUAAUACCAUCCUACCUCAAUCCCCCCCCUCUGAGCACCACCCCACAUGAGGUUAAACAAAACAAGGUAAGAUGAGCCUUUAAAGGUAAAACAAAACGUUAGUGUCUUCAUAUAGCACCUUUGAGGCUUUAGUUGGUCUCCUGUUGCCUGAUUUGAAAUUGUUAAAAAAUGUUGCACGUACAAACACACUGGGUACACUUUAAAAAUAACAUGUAUUGAGAUGUUGACUCAUAAGAAUGUGAAAUUAGUAGUGGUUUCCAAAACGGGUAAACAGUUACCUUAUUUUUUUGCUUUUACAUUAAAAUGCAUUCAGCUGUGUGCUAUGUAAAAAAAGUUUUUUUUUUUUCCUAACAUUUAAGACUUGCUUUUAUUUUCCCCAAAAGCAGACCCUGGAUAGUGAUUUAUCUGUAAAACUAAAAGUCAGUCAUCUGGAUAUGUUAAACGUGUCUAUGAAUAUUUAAAUUUUGAGCCUUGCAAUUAAAAAAAUUUGAAGUUUUUGAUAUAGAAAUAUAGAAUCAAUAGCACAUCUGAGGAAGAAGGGACUAAAAGGUGAUUUAAUGUGUAUAUUUGAUAUUAUAAAUGAGAGAACACAGGUCAAGGAAAAAAUAUUCUGAUGUUCUCUCUAAAAGUAUUUUUAUCCGAAAUGCCUCAAAGAUAUUUGGCUUACCAAAAGCCUUUUAACUUACCAAAUGUUUAAAAAAAAUUUAAUAUAAUAAUUGCAGUUAUUUCAAAGAACAUUUGUUACAUAACUUCAACUAAUUGAAACUAUUGAAAAUCAGUAAUUUUUUAAAAACUGCAGUCAAAAGGUACAAACUUCCAGUUAGAAGUAAGUCCUUGGGAUUUAAUAUACAGAAUGGUGGCUGCAAUUUAUAAUACUGUAUUGCAUACUUGAAAUUUCCUAACAGAGUAGAUCUUGAAAGUUCUCAACACACAAAAAAAUAUGUAACUAUGUAUGGUGGCUGAUUGAUGUUAGACAUAUUAUGGUGAUCAUUUCACAAUAUAUACAGAUACCGAAUCAUUAUGUUUUACAUUGGAAAUGAAUAUAAAUAUGUCAAUUAUAACUCAAUAAAAAAGUAGUACAAAAGAACUUUGAUGAACCAAAUGAGCUCAUUAAAUACUGACACUAAACCUUCUUCCUCAGUCCCUCCCUCAAAAAUAUUUACAGUAAUUGCAGGCCCAGUCAAUAAUCUCACUUCAAUUUUUGCAAUCACAUCAAAUUCAAAAUAACAAAAAAUAAUUAAGCACAUACUAUAAAAAGACAUGCAAUGAGUGUAUAGAGGUGAUUAGAAAACAAACAGCUAUUGCCCCUGCUUUCAUGGAGGAGUUGAAAGUAUCUGAAGGAGCAAGGUCACUGGCAAAAUAAAAGAGAAAAGAAAUUGGAGAAAAGUAGAUGCAAGGUCCCAAGUGGCAUCAUUUUCUUGGCUCUUAGCUCAAUGUAGCACUGCUCUGUAUGUGUCAGGAAUUCCUGAGCACAGUUUCCAAUACAAUGUUUUGUAGUAUUUGGCAUUGUAAAUUAUGGAUUUGGCCAUCAAGAAAAUACUCAGUGAACUCUAUCUUCUGAAAAGGCAGAAAAGUGUGGGCAUGUGGUAGACAUGUCUAACAGGGGUCUUAUCUUGAGGAAGGUCUGAGUCUAAAGAUAGAGGUUCAAGGAUAUUUGAUCAUGUCUGGAGAAUACUAGAGGGAUCCCACAGUGUCAGCACACCAAAGGGGACCUCAUGUAAGGGAGCUCUAAAGAGAGAUGUUUCCAGAUACAACACAUUGACCCAAUAAUAAGCCUCACAUGACAAUUCAGGUAUCAACUCUCAUGUGACUUAUGUGCAUAUUCCAUUGCUCAGUGCAAGCCAUAGAGCAGUAGCUAACUUCAAGUGGUGUGAAAAUACAACAUACCUUAUGCCCAGAAAAACAAGAAUCAGAAAUAUUGGUGAACAUAUGUACUUUGCCAGAUAAUCCCAAGUGUUAGUAUAGUGUAGAUACAGAUAGAAAUCCUCAUGUGGUGGUGGGAAUAUAGACCAGUCCUGCCAUUCUGGAGGACAGCUUGGAAGCGCAAACAAAUUAAGUUUGCCCAACAGUUCUUCUUCUAGGCAUGAAACUCAUAAACAAAUCCUCAUGAAGAACUGCAAGGGAACAUGAUCCAUCCUUUAAAUUAUUUGAGCAUUAUUUGAGAUAGUGAUGAGUUAGUUACAAUUGAGAUGUACAUAUGGCAAAUGUGGUUAACGAAUCUGACUAGGAACCACAAGGUUGUGGGUUCAAUCCCUGGCCUCACUCAGUGGAUUAAGGAUCUGGCAUUGCCGUGAGCUGUGGUGUAGGUCACAGACGCAGCUCGGAUCCCACAUUGCUAUGACUCUGGGGUAGACUGGUAGCUGCAGCUCCGAUUGGACCCCUAGCCUGGGAACCUCCAUAUGCCACAGGUGUGGCCCUAGAAAAGAGACAGAAAAAAAAAAAAAGGUUCAUCAUUAACACUAAGGUGGAAUAAAGAAGAGGAAGCUUGGAGAAAAAUAAUAUAAUUUCAGCUUUUGAAAAAAAAAUCAUGAGUACUGAGGCUCAGAACAUUCAUAAAUUAAGAAAAUAAUUGCAAACACUAAUAUUCUGAAAUGAUGACGUUGAUUCCUUGGAUACUCUCUGCUGACACAGAUUCUAAUACCAGAAAGUUGGGGAAAAAUGUCUUCAAUUUGCCAAAUGUGUAAUUACACAUCUAAAUAAAUAUGUCAUAUAUGCCUCUACAAAUUCAGUAUUACAGGCUCUAAUUUAUAUAUGAAGAGUAGUGGAGCAACAGAAGGAGAAAUUGAACAGAAGACAAGUAUUUCAUAAUAGGUCAAUAAUUGGAUGUCCUUUGGCAAAGAAUUUUGCUGCUCACCUUCAAUAUACUGGGCUAUAAAAUGGAAUCAGUUAUACUUACUAUAUCUCACAGAGUUGUUAACUACUUAAGCAAAAUCACAUAUUUUAAGAUUCUUACUCAGUGGAAAUGUAAGAUAAAGCAUUACUUGUUCAAGUUCCCCUUGUGGCUCAGCAGUGAUGAACCUGACUAGUAUCCAGGAGGAUGUGGGUUUGAUCCCUGGCCUCACUCAGUGGGUUAGGAUCUGGCAGUGCCACGGGCUACAGUAUGGGUCACAGACACGGCUCGGAUCCUGCGUUGCUGUGGCUAGGCUGGCAGUUACAGCUCGGAUUCGACCCCUAGCCUGGAAACUUCC
This 5778-nucleotide long non-coding RNA is filed under the name Sus scrofa (pig). RNAcentral describes it as "lncRNA (ENSSSCG00000051908.1)". Lineage: Eukaryota; Metazoa; Chordata; Mammalia; Artiodactyla; Suidae. The record is from RNAcentral.